UCAGUUUGGACCUUCUCCUAAGAUGACUAAUAAUUGAAAAGUGGUUUUAUAAUGUGGAAUAAUGUUCGUUAUGAGACCAAUUAGGGAACAAAUUUUCACCAAUAACUCCUCAACUUGCAGUGACGGAUUUAAGACAGAUCCCUAUGCACAGGGAUCCAAGCCAGCUGAACAUUCGGUAGCAGAAGGCAUUUGGUGCACAGCUCUUCCUAAAGAAUGUAGGGAAGAAAUUCCCCCCAGUCUUCUGACUACAGAGUUAUCUAUAAAGCGUGAGAGUUAGGAGGAGAAAAAGUGGCCUGGUGCAAGAUGGGACUCAUUAUAGUUUGUACCAUGGCAAGCCAAUGAAAAGUAGCAGAUGGCACAUUAGAAACAGGCAGUCCCCGACUUACGUGGAUCCGACUUACGUCAG
Non-coding RNA from Pelodiscus sinensis (Chinese soft-shelled turtle), 406 nucleotides. The record is from RefSeq and is a predicted model, not a curated record. NCBI's taxonomy places the organism in Eukaryota, Metazoa, Chordata, Testudines, Trionychidae.